This is a non-coding RNA of Bos taurus (domestic cattle), 72 nucleotides long. The record is from Rfam. NCBI's taxonomy places the organism in Eukaryota, Metazoa, Chordata, Mammalia, Artiodactyla, Bovidae.
UCCCUUGUGGCUUAGGUGGUAAAGAAUCCACCUGCAAUGUGGGAGACCUGGGUUCGAUCCCUGGGUUGGGAA